Molecule: ribosomal RNA, 359 nt
Filed under: uncultured bacterium
Lineage: Bacteria
Description: bacterial SSU rRNA
Rfam family: Bacterial small subunit ribosomal RNA
Source: RNAcentral
AAUCAACGCUGGCGGCGUGCCUCAGACAUGCAAGUCGAACGCUGCUGUUCGCCUUCGGGUGGACAGCGGAGUGGCGCACGGGUGAGUAACACGUAGGUAAUCUACCUUUGGGUGGGGAAUAACAGCCGGAAACGGCUGCUAAUACCGCAUAAUGCAGCGGCAUCACAUGAUGACAGUUGUUAAAGCGAGGGAUCGUAAGACCUCGUGCCUGAAGAGGAGCCUGCGGCAGAUUAGGUAGUUGGUGAGGUAAUGGCUCACCAAGCCUGCGAUCUGUAACCGGCCUGAGAGGGCGGUCGGUCACACUGACACUGAACAUACGGGUCAGACUCCUACGGGAGGCAGCAGUCGGGAAUUUUGGG